GGGGGGGUCUCCGUCUACAGACAACAUACAAGAUUAACACAUCAUCACUUUAAGAUUUGGAGCCAUGGCACGUUGUGUUUCAUAGCGGUAGAGGGGCCUCAGUCCUCAACGCAGCUGUCCUGGGUUCGAGUCCCGACCCGGAGACCUCUCCUGCAUGUUUUCCUCCUUUCUUCCUGUCUGCUUACUCUGAAAAAAUAAAAGGUAACUAAUGCCACAAAACAAAAAUAAGGAGGUUUGGAGCCAGCAGCACAGGUGAGACACAGGUCAGGUCACAGAGCUUGCUGCACUGCACUGCACGAGUCUGAGUGCAGGACUGCACAAAAAAGGCAGCAAGAAGCCUAUCUGAUCAAGAAGUCAAUCAAGGACAGAACGAAAUCCAGCAUGUAAGUAAGAAGACUGGUGCAGCGUUAUUUUCUCAGAUGAAUCCUCCUUCUGAUUGGGACAUUUGUGGUGCCAACAGCUAACCAUCCUCCUGAUCCAAACCAUGUGGGGAGUUUAUUCCCCUUCCAAGAACUCUUCCAAUUAUAUAGAGUGAGACCAAAUAUCCUCCCAAUGAAGUGGCUCAAAGAUUGGAAAAUUAAAAUUGUGGACUUGUGGUCAGAAAAAUGCCCAGAUCUUACCCCCACUGAGAACCUGUGGUCUCAAAAAUCAAGUGGAAAAACAGAAGCCAAACUGGGAUCAACUUUAACCACCAGAAGACAAGAAUAGAAAUGAUAAGCAGGGAGUUGGAAGAUGUUGAUCACAUUGGGGAAGUCUCCUGGAGGUCUGUAGGAGAAAGUGACGAUCUCCAAGCAGCAGGCCAGCAGAGAGCGGUGAAAGAUGUCUUGCUCAAGAAUACACUACAGCACACACAGUAGGGAGACAGGAAAGAGGGGCAAAGAGAGAGGGAGAUAUUCGGCAAAGAUCGCCAAGUCGGGUACUCAAACCCAGGACAGCCACACCAAGGACGAUAUCCUCUGCACAUGGUCGCGCGGUUCACCCCUACACCACCAGCGCCGCAUCUAUGUCUACCUUACCUUGAACAUUGAAUUAUCCUGGUGAGAAAUCAUAAUUUUUUUAAAUUAUCACAGGUGUACCUCAGUUCUUGGCCCACUGUUUAGAUUAAAUGAUUCGUGUCCUUAUGCAAAGUUGCAAGUGUAUGCUGAUGAUAUAGUUAUAUAGUUGGUAAAAACACGAGUCUCAACACAGCCAUUAAAAUAUUUAGUCUUCUGCAGUAUAGUUUGAAAGUCUGUGUCUUAUAUUAAAUGUGUCAAUUUGCUUUUCUUUAAGAGUCAUGCUGAAUAUUUAUUUAAAGUUGUAAAAAAUAUUAGGAUAUUAAACAAAGUUUUAACAAUGGCUAUUGUCCCCUGCUGAGAUGACUGAUUUCACUGAGCUUUCAGCCAAAAUUUCUCCUUU
This is a long non-coding RNA of Girardinichthys multiradiatus, 1395 nucleotides long. RefSeq lists it as uncharacterized. Lineage: Eukaryota; Metazoa; Chordata; Actinopteri; Cyprinodontiformes; Goodeidae. The record is from RefSeq and is a predicted model, not a curated record. The transcript is spliced from 3 exons.